Molecule: long non-coding RNA, 1456 nt
Organism: Pezoporus flaviventris
Lineage: Eukaryota; Metazoa; Chordata; Aves; Psittaciformes; Psittacidae
Exons: 4
Source: RefSeq, a predicted model, not a curated record
CUUUCCCUAGCUGUGGGAAGGUUGGUGGCAUAGCUGGUGUUCCUAAUGGGACAGCAACAUCUAAGGCCCUCAGUGAGUAGAGCUUGUUCUUUAGGAACAUACAGAAUGAAAGACACCAUCUGUGGCAUAUCCUGUUUAUGUCUGCUGCUCCUCUGCAGACUGCAAACUGUUGUGCGUGUCAGUGCGGAGCUUCUCCACUUGAUGAACUUCAGGUGUACUGGAAGAAUGAUUGCAAAUUGAAAUGGCUUUGUAACGAGGCCUGAGUUAGCAACAAAACCAAACAGGAAUAUUCAUUUUCCUGAAAUUAUCAGAGAGAAUAACACUUGGAGAGAACAUUCAUCAUUAUGUCAGCAAGGAGCUAGAAAAGCAAAUCCUUCUGCAAUUUUCUCCUAGCACCAACUCACAGCUCAGAGCCCAGACUUAGAUUUGGAAGAAGAGCCGAAAUAGUCACCACGGGUGUUGGGGUGCUGUGAUUGCCCAUCCUCACCUCAGCCUGUGUUAGAAAGCAACCAUGCAUUCCACAGGAUGGAAUGUCUGUGCGAAACUGGGCUUUGCUGUGCCUCUGCUCAGCAGCACAGCAGUCUUAAAUCCUGAAACUGUUAAGUACAACAUAUAUAUCACCUUGUGGUUUUUCAGGCUCACUGCAUGGAAACUCCCUGGCUGGAUUUAGAAGUCCCCACCCAAUAAGUUAUUUGCUUCCAGCUCCUGCUAUUCCUUUGCUUUUCUGGGCAAAGGUGGAAUCCUGAAUCUGAUGCUCAGGCAGCUCUCCUGGGGAAUGUCCGCUUGCUCCCCACAGUUCACGGCACAAGGCAGGCAGAGAUGUUUUGGAGUUUUUGUCUUUUCCUGUCCCAACCCACAGCUGCCUCUGCUGAGAUUGCAAUCUGAUGUAAGGGUUUACGCUGGUACCCUACAGCAACAUCCCUUGAGAAAAGCUUUGGGAAGUGGUGCCUGAUGAUGGGAGGUCAUGGGAAAAGGGCUCCCCAAAAGCAACAGGAGUGGGAAGCAAAAGGCUCCGGAGUGCUUGCGGGCGAUGAACUUCUUCCUCUGCCUUUUGAGUUUGGGAGAGAGGAAGCACAAAGCAGAAACAUCUGCAUUCCUAACUCCUCUGUGUGAGAAUAACCUAAAGAUGCUGAUGCUGUAAUAGGCAGCGGAGGAAGAGCAGCUCUUUUCCCCGGAUUAGCAUCCCAUUACAGCAGUGCUUUGAGGAUAUGAUCUGAUUUGUUUAUCCCAGAGUUCAAUCUGGCUAUGAAUGCACAGCUCUGCUGCUCUCAAACCCAGCCACAAACCUCUAUGCCCCACUCCUGCCCCAAACCAUGGUCAGGAGCAACAAGGAAGGACACCCCUGCGUUAAAAAAAAUCAUCUUUAAAAUUCACACACUUACACUUCCCAUUUUAUGUCUGCUUUCCAACACUGCAAAAGGGGUCUCCCAUCUUUUUGCUACCAGAUAAGCCUUCU